This 696-nucleotide long non-coding RNA is filed under the name Gossypium raimondii (Peruvian cotton). Its description in RNAcentral is "long non-coding RNA (GRAI_LNC003622)". The record is from RNAcentral. Lineage: Eukaryota; Viridiplantae; Streptophyta; Magnoliopsida; Malvales; Malvaceae.
AUUCGGCAACAAGAAAAAGAUAGGAAUAGAAUAAAGCAGAGAAAAAUCAGAAGAGUAAAUCGGCAGAAGUACAAUAGAACAAUGAACGGUAGGGAGGAUAGGUUCAAAGAACAGCAAGAGGAGAAUGGUGUAUUCGGCAAUCAAAGAGGAGAGAAACCGAAAGAAAGAAGAAAAGAAAAAGAUGAGGGAGAAGAGUAUAUUCGGCCAAAAAAAUAAAAAAAAAUAGGUAAAAAGGAAAAGAGCAACCAAAAGAAAAUGAACCCGAGAGGUAACUUCCAGAACUAGGCAAAAUUCGACACCAAAACUAAAACGUAAAACCCGAAACUCACCGAAAUCACAGCAAACUAAGAGAGAAACUCCAAAAAGACCAAAACCAAAAACCUUUAGGAUUAAGUGACUAAAUUCAGCACAAACACCCUCCCCCAGCCGAAUUUUCAAUGCCUCAAUUACCCCAAACGACACAACAUUCCUCACUAAACAACUCCUUGAUUUUCUCCUAAAAUCUCUCCCCUUAUCCCUCCUUGAUUUUCUCCACCCAAUCACAAUCCCACUAAUCCCUCCAUGAUUCACUCCUUUAUUCAAAUUCCAUAGUAUUUUAGUCAAACUUCACCACCUUACUGCACAAAUGGUAAAAAUAAACACUCCUCAGUGUAGCAUAGGACUCGAACAUCAGAUCUUAAGGAAACUUCACAUGCC